This is a long non-coding RNA of Patiria miniata (bat star), 962 nucleotides long. RefSeq lists it as uncharacterized. Lineage: Eukaryota; Metazoa; Echinodermata; Asteroidea; Valvatida; Asterinidae. The transcript is spliced from 4 exons. The record is from RefSeq and is a predicted model, not a curated record.
AGAAUCUCCACCUUUUGAGUUGUGUCUCCGACUUAAACUAUAUCCCUCCCAAAACUAUGUCCAGUAUUUACAUUUUUAAUGCUUUGAGCCAUGAGAUGAAUUUAAUCAAUUGUUCAGUAUUGGCCAGCUGUGUAAAAGCCUUACUCCUACCCUUAAUUAUGCGAUUGUAGCUUUACUGGAUCUUAUUGUUAAACCCUCUGCAUGGGUGCACAACUUUUGUUCCAUUCAUCACUGUGCACAGUACAUUUGUCCUAGAAAUACAUGGAGAGUCACACACAUGCAGUCACUAUUGGUGGGUGUGGUGCAUAUAGCAUAGAGCAAGACACUAUGUGCAUACACGCCCUCUUCAUUACCUCUCAAAUAAUUGAGUCAAACAUGCACAUUAGUGUUACAGCUUCGAAAAUAUACUGGAUUAUAGAACUGUUAUAUGCUAUCGAUGUGAUCGUACGGGAUAGAGGAUUUUUAACACCAACCACAAGGAAGUUUGGCAAGCAGCUCAUUUGUGGAACCACAUUUCAUUGUCCACUCAAAUGAAGACCGCUGACCUUGGUAUUUGUUACGUGGAGUACACAUUAUUGAAGUAUCUCACUCACCAUAGGGAAUUAUUUUGUGUGGAGAAUACAAGACAUUGGAAUAUCAUCUCAGAAGUAUCGAUUGUCAGUGAAUGUGCAUCACUCCCACUACCCAUUUGAUGAAACAGAACAACGUUCUCUUCAGAUGUGCGGAACUUGAAGUACAACGAAUCACUCGUCCAGGUAUCUAACGUGAUGUAGUCUUGAGAGCGUGUGAUGGUGACGGUUUGGCCUCUGAUUUCUCCAACUGCAAGCAAAGACGCACCAGCGACAUCUUGCACCUUGAAGAACUGCAUACUCACAAUAGGUACAACAAGUAGACACAAAAACCAGGAGUGCAACAUGGCCUAAUUGUCACUGCAGGACUUACUACAACGGCGCUUCAAAACA